RNAcentral lists this ribosomal RNA (112 nucleotides) under Carlito syrichta (Philippine tarsier). The record is from RNAcentral. Lineage: Eukaryota; Metazoa; Chordata; Mammalia; Primates; Tarsiidae.
AUCUAUGGUCAUAGCACCCUGAAUGCUUGUCUGAUUCAGGAAGCUAAGCGAGGUAGGGCCUGCUUACCAAUUGUUAAGGGAGACCACCUGGAAGUACUAGGUACUGUAGUAU